Capsicum annuum is the source of this 1228-nucleotide RNA transcript. RefSeq lists it as uncharacterized. The record is from RefSeq and is a predicted model, not a curated record. The transcript has 3 exons. NCBI's taxonomy places the organism in Eukaryota, Viridiplantae, Streptophyta, Magnoliopsida, Solanales, Solanaceae.
CUGGUCAAGGGAAGUCAUUUUCAGGAGAAAAAAAAAAGUUGGCGCGAGUUAUUCCCACCAACCGUAUCCCUAUCCCUCCACCCCCCACAAGCUUCCUUUUUGUCCCAAAUUUAGAGGCGUUCUUCACUAUCACUACUAAUACAAUUUUAGAGUUUAUCUCUCUUCUCUCCACUACGAUUUUGACAAGAACCUCAAGUAAAUCAUGGGGAAAAAAGGAGAGAAGUAGUUUAGGUGGUCAAAACUAAUGGAAUAUUUGAUGUUGGAGAUUCUAGCUGAUGAAGUGAAGCAAGGGAAUAAAUCGACUAAUCAGUUUAAAGCUAGCUCAUUCAAUCGUGUUGCGAAUGCCAUUAGCUAACAACUAGGAAUGGAUUGUUCAUCUAAGCAUGUGGAGAAUCAUCUUAAAACUACAAGAAACACUUGGAGUACAAUUCAAACUCUACUAAAUAAAAGUGGUCUUGGAUGGGAAGACAACUUGAAGAUGAUUACGGCCAGUACCGAAGUCUAUGCUGUCCAUAUUCAGGUACAUCCCAAUCAUGAUAAGUUCAUUAACAAAAAAAUUGAUAUGUUUGACGAAAUGUCUUGUGUGUGGGAAUGAUCGAGCUAGGGGAGAUUGUGCUAAGUCAUUUGAAGAUAUAGAUUUUGAGUAUUUUUCUCAGAAAGAUAAUGAUAAUGACAUUGAAGGACCAUCCACGGAAAAGGAUGCGCAAGUGACCGAAACUUCUCAAGUCAAGCCAAGUCGCAAAAGAAAACGUUCUUUUGAGGUGCAAGAUGUCAUAGGUGAUAUAUCAAUUAAAUUUGGAGAAGUGGCAACGGCAAUUGGUAGGAUGGUUGAUAGUCUUCAUCUAGAUAUGACAAAGUUGUACGAAGAAGUUAUGGCAAUGGAAGGUUAUGAGGAAGAGUUCCUCGGUGAUACUUUUGAUUAUUUGGUUCAAAGAGACACUUUAGCUAAGGCAUUCAUGGCAAAAAAUUAAAAUCUUUGUAAGGUGUGGUUGGAACGAUUCAAGCAACAACAAUAGUGACACCUAUUGAUUGGAAGAACUCAGCUUCAUAGGGUUUGAAAGCAAUUAUAUUUCACGAACUUUUAUUUUUGAUAAUAUAUCAUGUAUUUGCUACCAAACUUGAGUAAAUUCCCUAGAUGGUCACCCAUAUUUGGGAAAUUGCCUACAAAUAUCAUUUUUGUUUCAUUUAGGAUAAGAAUAUCACCCAACUCUUUCUAUUUUUCUUAAAA